RNAcentral lists this ribosomal RNA (840 nucleotides) under Triticum aestivum (bread wheat). Its description in RNAcentral is "partial small subunit ribosomal RNA". Lineage: Eukaryota; Viridiplantae; Streptophyta; Magnoliopsida; Poales; Poaceae. The record is from RNAcentral.
AUGAGUUACCAGCUGAUGAAGAAGGCCAGGAGCGAAGCAACACAGCAGAAGGCGUCGUCUUUGUCUUUGGAACAACAGCAUGAAAAGAUAAAUGAGGUGCGGGUUCUCCUUGGCAGUCUGACCAAGGAGAUGCCAAGUUUCUUGUCAGACGCCACCAUCCGUCGUUUCCUCCGAGCGAGGAAUUGGAGCAUGGAACAAGCAACCAAGGGUCUCAAGGAAACCGUCAAGUGGAGGCGUGAGUACAGGCCGGAUGCAAUUUCCUGGGAAGACCUUGCUGAAAUGGAGAACGAGGCGAGGAGAACACAUGUAGCCGACUACCUUGACAAGAAUGGAAGAAGCGUCCUGGUAGUAAACCUACCAAUGAAGUCGAAAGUUUCAGUCAAGGAGCAGAUAAAGCACCUGGUAUAUCUCCUCGAGUAUUUCGCUACCAAUUCAGCAGAUGAACAAGACGACUAUGUUGUUUGGUUGAUUGACUUCCGAGGCUGGUCGAUAUCGAGUACGCCAUUUUCGACAACCCGUGAGACCAUGCACAUAAUUCAAAACUACUAUCCAGGGGUGAUAGCCGUGGCGAUUCCUUUUGACCCUCCGAAGAUUUUUGAAUCUUUUUGGAAGAUAGCAAAGAACUUUGUCCAGCCAAACAUGAAAGAGAAAGUGAAGUUUGUUUAUGCUAACAAACCAGAGAGCCUGGAGAUAAUUGCUGACAUCUUUGACUUAGACAUGCUGGAGUUGUCGUUUGGAGGAAGAAGCACCAGUGCAAUCUUUGACAUCAAUAAGUAUGCUGAGAGAAUGAUAAGAGCCGACAAGAUGAGAGUAACAUCAGAAGACACAAAUGGCAAAUGA